CCACGCAUGCCUUAGUACGGCGAGUGAAGCGGCAAAAGCUCAAAUUUGAAAUCUGGCACCUUCGGUGUCCGAGUUGUAAUUUGAAGAAGGUAACUUUGGAGUUGGCUCUUGUCUAUGUUCCUUGGAACAGGACGUCACAGAGGGUGAGAAUCCCGUGCGAUGAGAUGCCCAAUUCUAUGUAAAGUGCUUUCGAAGAGUCGAGUUGUUUGGGAAUUGA
RNAcentral lists this ribosomal RNA (217 nucleotides) under uncultured fungus. RNAcentral's name for it is "partial 26S ribosomal RNA". It matches the Rfam family "Eukaryotic large subunit ribosomal RNA", at positions 69 to 284 of the family's 3401-position model. The record is from RNAcentral. Lineage: Eukaryota; Fungi.